GGGGAUGAUCGGUUUCGACAGCGAUCUUCAGCUGAUGUGAAGCGGGCCGAGGAUGUCUACUGCACUCGUUAACCAUGUAUUCAAACCAAUAGGUGCUGAACAAAACCGCACCGACUUUGCCCUCGCAGCCUAAGCUAGCGAGCAAGUCCGUCAGCCCAGGUAAUGCUCUGAGCCUGGAUACUGGCGUCGUUUUAUGAGCCACUGGGUUGCCACCAUGUUGGGGGAUGGUGACCGACACUUACUCAACUGAGCCAUUUAGUUGCAGGUUUGCAUGUUGCUAGUGGCUGAGAAAUUUUAAAGCAAACUGCGCCCGGAGAAGCCACCAGGGUGGAUCGUUGGACCCGGGUUCAAUUCCCGGCAUCUCCACUA
This 369-nucleotide transfer-messenger RNA is filed under the name Actinomycetaceae bacterium. It matches the Rfam family "transfer-messenger RNA". Rfam says of the family: Bacterial tmRNA, also known as 10Sa RNA or SsrA, is named for its dual tRNA and mRNA-like properties. Its role is to liberate the mRNA from a stalled ribosome. To accomplish this part of the tmRNA is used as a reading frame that ends in a translation stop signal. Lineage: Bacteria; Bacillati; Actinomycetota; Actinomycetes; Actinomycetales; Actinomycetaceae. The record is from RNAcentral.